This 492-nucleotide ribosomal RNA is filed under the name uncultured bacterium. Its description in RNAcentral is "partial 16S ribosomal RNA". It matches the Rfam family "Bacterial small subunit ribosomal RNA", at positions 29 to 507 of the family's 1533-position model. The record is from RNAcentral.
AGUGAACGCUGGCGGUAGGCCCAACACAUGCAAGUCGAACGGCAGCACAGUAAGAGCUUGCUCUUACGGGUGGCGAGUGGCGGACGGGUGAGGAAUACAUCGGAAUCUACUUUUUCGUGGGGGAUAACGUAGGGAAACUUACGCUAAUACCGCAUACGACCUACGGGUGAAAGCAGGGGAUCUUCGGACCUUGCGCGAUUGAAUGAGCCGAUGUCGGAUUAGCUAGUUGGCGGGGUAAAGGCCCACCAAGGCGACGAUCCGUAGCUGGUCUGAGAGGGUGAUCAGCCACACUGGAACUGAGACACGGUCCAGACUCCUACGGGAGGCAGCAGUGGGGAAUAUUGGACAAUGGGCGCAAGCCUGAUCCAGCCAUACCGCGUGGGUGAAGAAGGCCUUCGGGUUGUAAAGCCCUUUUGUUGGGAAAGAAAAGCAGCAGGUUAAUACCCCGCUGUUCUGACGGUACCCAAAGAAUAAGCACCGGCUAACUUCGUG